UUCGCAAUGGCCUACGGCUCUCCCCUCGCCUUCUUUUUCUCCUCCUACGCCCUGCUAGUCGCCUCCAUCCCCGGCCUCGUCCCCGUCGGGGUAGCCGAGCCCAGCUUCUACGAUCCCAACCGAGUCACCCAGCCCUCUUGGCGUCCCAAGUGCAGCUAUUUUUUCUACGAUACAUAGUCACAGAUUUUUUCUUGCCUUUCCUGGAGCUCAAGUGGAGCUGGGUUCGCGCAGGAUCUUCCUGUACAAGGGAUUUCUUUCCGACGAGGAAUGUGAUCACAUCAUUAAGCUGGUAGGGAGAUCUUCCUGUCGAGGUUCCUGUUUGUGUAUGGCUGUCUGCUUCCUUUGUUGGUGUUGAGUGCAAGCAGGCGAGGAACAAGACGACGAGAUCGAUUGUGGCGAACAACGAGUCCGGGAAGAGCCUGACGAGCAACGUGCGGACGAGCUCCAGCAUGUUCCUACGGAAGCAUCGGAGGGAGUCAGCACGGCUUGAUUCAACCUCAGGUGUGCAGGAUCGUCCACGUCAGCGCUCGGGUGGCGGGGAUCGUCGUUCGAUGAGGUCGCGCUCCGGCUUUGGCUUCAAGGGCUGCUGAACCUUGCGCCGAAUUCCGCAGAAGCAAAGUUGUUCGAGCAAUUUGGGAAGGAUAUCAUAGCGAAUGCUGCAAGUGCUGGUGUUGGUGCUGGCAACUCAACCGGAAAUGCUAGCCCUAAAGAAAAUAAAAAUGGUGGAAGGGACAAGACCUUAUGAAAUGCAAGUGAUGGUGAAAGCAACAAAAGCUGGUGUAGAUUGAGCACUGGAGGUGGGUUUGGGGUUUGGAGAUUACCUCUUUCUUAUUCUCGAUUCUCUCAUGUUAAUGCUGGUCAACUAAAACACUAUGAUUAAACUCGCCUUUUGUCGUAGAAUUGUGCUCCAUUCAUCCUUUACUUGCUGCAAUGUCAGUUACAAUUUCCAUGGAUAUUCUUAGAUUUACUAUGUGAAAGGGAUCAAAUAUACCUUGUUAAUU
Molecule: long non-coding RNA, 1001 nt
Organism: Musa acuminata AAA Group (dessert banana)
Lineage: Eukaryota; Viridiplantae; Streptophyta; Magnoliopsida; Zingiberales; Musaceae
Exons: 4
Source: RefSeq, a predicted model, not a curated record